This 706-nucleotide long non-coding RNA is filed under the name Sinocyclocheilus grahami. RNAcentral's name for it is "lncRNA (ENSSGRG00000051626.1)". Lineage: Eukaryota; Metazoa; Chordata; Actinopteri; Cypriniformes; Cyprinidae. The record is from RNAcentral.
CCGGUCCAAGAGGAGGCUAGCUCUACCCCAGACACACACACGCGCUCACACACACUCGUUCAAACACAGUGAAAUAGAGCGGUUCAGAGGACGGAAACGUUCUGUGAAGUAUACACUGCGUGGUUUCUGUGGAUGGCCUGAGUGUCUUCAGCUGCGGCAGAAUCCUCUGAGGAACUGGCCUGACUCAUCUGCGUCUGUGACAGGUCAUGUCCAUGAGCAGGAGUGGAUAACCCAAAGCGCCCAAACCGGCUCACUAACACUCAAAUCCAUGUUUAAAGAUGCUGUCAGGAAAGGAAACGCAUGGAAAAGUUGCUACCAGCUUACCUCAUCCUUCCCUGCAUUAUGACUGGCAUUGUUUCUGGAGCUUAUGAUGCAGACAGACGGGACGGUUGCCCUCAGACCAAAGGAGACGUUGACCUAGAGGGAGAUCGGCAGCGAGCGGCAUGAAAGUUACAGCCCUCAUGUGGGACAAACAGCAGAGAAGGGCUUCACACCAGGCAACACAUGCAAAAUUGACAAGAGGAUGUGGGGAAAAAAGGGGUUGGACGAGGAUGAAUAAAACAAAUCAUGGUGCUUGACUGGAGGUGAUUUGAAAUAUUCUUUGUCUUCAUUUACGCUUGAGAAUAAUAUAACAUCCCGACAGGAGACCGGGCUAGGGGCUCCAGUCGCACGCAGGGGAUAAAAAAUUAAUUAAAAGAUGAGAGAA